This 251-nucleotide ribosomal RNA is filed under the name uncultured bacterium. RNAcentral's name for it is "partial 16S ribosomal RNA". It matches the Rfam family "Bacterial small subunit ribosomal RNA", at positions 524 to 774 of the family's 1533-position model. The record is from RNAcentral.
UACGGAAGGUCCGGGCGUUGUCCGGAAUUAUUGGGCGUAAAGAGCUCGUAGGUGGCUUGUCGCGUCUGCCGUGAAAACCCGAGGCUCAACCUCGGGCGUGCGGUGGGUACGGGCAGGCUAGAGCGUGGUAGGGGAGACUGGAACUCCUGGUGUAGCGGUGAAAUGCGCAGAUAUCAGGAAGAACACCGAUGGCGAAGGCAGGUCUCUGGGCCAUUACUGACACUGAGGAGCGAAAGCAUGGGUAGCGAACA